CGCGGGGUGGAGCAGUUCGGUAGCUCGUCGGGCUCAUAACCCGAAGGUCAUCGGUUCAAAUCCGGUCCCCGCUACCA
RNAcentral lists this transfer RNA (77 nucleotides) under Pseudomonadota bacterium. Its description in RNAcentral is "Proteobacteria bacterium (groundwater metagenome) tRNA-Met". It matches the Rfam family "tRNA". Rfam says of the family: Transfer RNA (tRNA) molecules are approximately 80 nucleotides in length. Their secondary structure includes four short double-helical elements and three loops (D, anti-codon, and T loops). The record is from RNAcentral. Lineage: Bacteria; Pseudomonadati; Pseudomonadota.